GGCGAACUCGUGCUUUAUUCCCUGGCCAGCUCCUGCGCGCUGUCGGCAGGCGGUUGAGUCCCCAGGGACGGAGGGGCUCCCCAGCCCUUCUCCCUUGCGAGAAGGAGAGCCCACGCCAGGCGCAGCCCUCUCACACUUAGGUUCUUGGUCCCCGAGUGAAUUUUCCCCUGCAUUUUGUGGCCUUGUGUGGAAUAAAUGAACCAUCAUGCGCACAGGCUGUGGGAAAACAUUCAAGAAGCAACAGAAUGUAAAGCAGCCUUUGGAAUGGUGUAUUUAAUUAUGGCAUCCAGUGUGUGUAAGCACUGGGUUCCCACAUUGCUUUACAUAAAUAGGAGAACACAGUGGAGAUUUUCAGCUGAACUCUCAUCUCUCAACACUGGCAAAUAUUCAUAAGAUCUACCACACCCUUAAUAAGCUGAACCUAACAGAAGACAUUGGCCAAGACGAUCACCAAACAGGAAGUCUGCGGUCUUGCAGUUCUUCAGACUGCUUUAAUAAAGUGAUGCCACCAAGGAAAAAGAGAAGACCUGCCUCUGGAGAUGAUUUAUCUGCCAA
RNAcentral lists this small RNA (555 nucleotides) under Pongo abelii (Sumatran orangutan). Its description in RNAcentral is "processed transcript". The record is from RNAcentral. Lineage: Eukaryota; Metazoa; Chordata; Mammalia; Primates; Hominidae.